Molecule: non-coding RNA, 86 nt
Filed under: Pseudomonas sp. SJZ077
Lineage: Bacteria; Pseudomonadati; Pseudomonadota; Gammaproteobacteria; Pseudomonadales; Pseudomonadaceae
Also listed under: 1 other name
Source: RNAcentral
CAUUAUGGCGGCUGUGCGAGGGAGACCUUCGGGUCUGCCGGGCUCCUUCUGCCUCGGUUUCCAGCCCGCGCAUAGCUGCCACCCUU